RNAcentral lists this ribosomal RNA (702 nucleotides) under uncultured bacterium. RNAcentral's name for it is "bacterial SSU rRNA". It matches the Rfam family "Bacterial small subunit ribosomal RNA", at positions 134 to 852 of the family's 1533-position model. The record is from RNAcentral.
CAGAGGGGGAUAACGUUUGGAAACGAACGCUAAUACCGCAUGAUAUUAUUGGGCAGCAUUGCCUGAUAAUCAAAGGAGCAAUCCGCUGAAAGAUGGGCUCGCGUCCGAUUAGGUAGUUGGCGGGGUAACGGCCCACCAAGCCGACGAUCGGUAGCCGGACUGAGAGGUUGAACGGCCACAUUGGGACUGAGACACGGCCCAGACUCCUACGGGAGGCAGCAGUGAGGGAUAUUGGUCAAUGGGGGAAACCCUGAACCAGCAACGCCGCGUGAGGGAAGACGGUUUUCGGAUUGUAAACCUCUGUCCUCUGUGAAGAUGAUGACGGUAGCAGAGGAGGAAGCUCCGGCUAACUACGUGCCAGCAGCCGCGGUAAUACGUAGGGAGCAAGCGUUGUCCGGAUUUACUGGGUGUAAAGGGUGCGUAGGCGGCUUUGCAAGUCAGAAGUGAAAUCUAUGGGCUUAACCCAUAAACUGCUUUUGAAACUGCAGGGCUUGAGUGAAGUAGAGGUAGGCGGAAUUCCCGGUGUAGCGGUGAAAUGCGUAGAGAUCGGGAGGAACACCAGUGGCGAAGGCGGCCUACUGGGCUUUAACUGACGCUGAGGCACGAAAGCGUGGGUAGCAAACAGGAUUAGAUACCCUGGUAGUCCACGCUGUAAACGAUGAUUACUAGGUGUGGGUGGACUGACCCCAUCCGUGCCGGAGU